Molecule: RNA transcript, 1333 nt
Organism: Zingiber officinale
Lineage: Eukaryota; Viridiplantae; Streptophyta; Magnoliopsida; Zingiberales; Zingiberaceae
Exons: 4
Source: RefSeq, a predicted model, not a curated record
UCAUUUUCUUCCCUCUCCCAUUUCUUCUUCGUUCCUUUCCUUUCCUUUAUCGCCGCUAGCUUUAUUCCGUCUCCCGCCCCUUCUUUUCUUCCCUCUCCGCAGCGCAGCCAGGUUCUUCCCUCUCCGCAGUAAGCAAGGAGUGGCUCAAAGGUAACCCUAUUUCUCAUUUCUUCCCUUUCUACAACACCGCGCGCAGCCUCGCCAGGCGAUGAGCAGCAAUUUUACAAGUGACCGCAUUCAAGGGGGUCGCAACCUCUUUAGGCCUUCAGUUCACUAGCGGACAAUUCACGAACGGCUACACACGAGGGGGCCAAUGCCUCACCAGGUAUUUCGUUCACAAAUUGGCGCACACGAGGGGGUCGAUUCCGGGCAGUGACCUGUAACGAGGCAGCGACAUUGUUAUCUUCUUCUGAAACUCUCGCCCUUUCCAUCUCCAUGUACUGGUAGGAAGCUUGCCCUUUUCUUCAUGCAGCACCAAGCCGAAGUGAUCGACCUUUCCUUUCCCAACAUUCAUCUUCUCUCAGGUUUGUGUCCUAAUCCUCAAUUGCCCCCUCCCCUCUUUCCAAUUCUUCCCCUCAAUGCAUGGUCUUGAGGCGCUCUUGCUGGAGCACGCUCGAAGGAUCUGUUGUGAGCACUGCAUCGUUCUCUUUUUCUAACUACUUUCCGUGUUUGUUGGUUGGCACCUGUUCCCCUCCCCUUUUCAAUUUCUCCUCUCACGGCAUAGUUAUGAUGGCAGGUGUUGGUCUUGAUGCUUGUUGUCACAGCGCUCAUGCUGGUGCACGUCUGAAGAAUCAAAUUUUCUUCUUCAAACAUGUUCUUCGAAGAUCUGAAAUCCUUGAAGAAGAAGACAUGAAUUGAAGAAUGGGAACGAAAUAAAUUCUGCAUGCAAUACCAGUAGAUUUACCACCAAGAAGCACAUCUCCUAUGUUAAACUGCCAAUUCAAUUUUGUAUAAAGGAGUGCGAAGAGGCAUUGGUUUUGAAUCCUUCAUUUAGGCGUGCACGCCAGAGGUUGGCAUCGUUGCUUAUAAGGAAGCUUCAAGCAGUGGAAAGACAAUUGGACAUGUGUGCAGAAGCCCGGAAGGUUGGAGAUUGGAAGAGUGCCCUUAAGUAGAGUGAUGCUACAUUCAUUGAAGGAGCAAUGCUUCUUCAUUGGUAAUGGUUUCAAAAUCUGAAGCACAACUUUGACUUCAUCAACUUAAAGAAGCUAAUAUGGUCAUAUCCUAUGUAUUUAAACUUGAUUGUGUAAAUUCACCAUCCUCAAAUACUAAGUUUUUUGGUAUGCUGGCAAAUCCAUACUUGUAUUGUAAUACCCCGGUUCUGAGAUUCUGGUUA